RNAcentral lists this ribosomal RNA (497 nucleotides) under uncultured bacterium. RNAcentral's name for it is "partial 16S ribosomal RNA". It matches the Rfam family "Bacterial small subunit ribosomal RNA", at positions 28 to 507 of the family's 1533-position model. The record is from RNAcentral.
GAUGAACGCUGGCGGCGUGCCUAAUACAUGCAAGUCGAGCGAACGGACGAGAAGCUUGCUCCUCUGAUGUUAGCGGCGGACGGGUGAGUAACACGUGGAUAACCUACCUAUAAGACUGGGAUAACUUCGGGAAACCGGAGCUAAUACCGGAUAAUAUUUUGAACCGCAUGGUUCAAUAGUGAAAGACGGUUUUGCUGUCACUUAUAGAUGGAUCCGCGCUGCAUUAGCUAGUUGGUAAGGUAACGGCUUACCAAGGCAACGAUGCAUAGCCGACCUGAGAGGGUGAUCGGCCACACUGGAACUGAGACACGGUCCAGACUCCUACGGGAGGCAGCAGUAGGGAAUCUUCCGCAAUGGGCGAAAGCCUGACGGAGCAACGCCGCGUGAGUGAUGAAGGUCUUCGGAUCGUAAAACUCUGUUAUUAGGGAAGAACAUAUGUGUAAGUAACUAUGCACAUCUUGACGGUACCUAAUCAGAAAGCCACGGCUAACUACGUG